This 863-nucleotide ribosomal RNA is filed under the name uncultured bacterium. RNAcentral's name for it is "bacterial SSU rRNA". It matches the Rfam family "Bacterial small subunit ribosomal RNA", at positions 9 to 896 of the family's 1533-position model. The record is from RNAcentral.
GAGUUUGAUCCUGGCUCAGGAUGAAUGCUGGCGGCGUGCCUAACACAUGCAAGUCGAGCGGCAGCACGAGUAGUUUACUACUUGGUGGCGAGCGGCGGACGGCUGAGUAACGCGUGGGAACGUGCCCUAAAGUGAGGGAUAACCGCUCGAAAGAGUGGCUAAUACCGCAUAUGGUCUUCGGAUUAAAGUAUUUAUACGCUUUGGGAGCGGCCCGCGUCGGAUUAGGUUGUUGGUGAGGUAAUGGCUCACCAAGCCGACGAUCCGUAGCUGGUCUGAGAGGAUGAUCAGCCAGACUGGAACUGAGACACGGUCCAGACUCCUACGGGAGGCAGCAGUGAGGAAUCUUCCACAAUGGGCGAAAGCCUGAUGGAGCAACGCCGCGUGCAGGAUGAAGGCCUUCGGGUUGUAAACUGCUUUUAUGAGUGAAGAAUAUGACGGUAGCUCAUGAAUAAGCACCGGCUAACUACGUGCCAGCAGCCGCGGUCAUACGUAGGGUGCAAGCAUUAUCCGGAGUGACUGGGCGUAAAGAGUUGCGUAGGUGGUUUGUUAAGCGAGUAGUGAAAGCCGACGGCUCAACCGUACGGAUUAUUAUUCGAACUGGCAGACUCGAGAGUGGUAGAGGUAACUGGAAUUUCUUGUGUAGGAGUGAAAUCCGUAGAUAUAAGAAGGAACACCAAUGGCGUAGGCAGGUUACUGGACCAUUUCUGACACUAAGGCACGAAAGCGUGGGGAGCGAACGGGGAUUAGAUACCCCGGUAGUCCACGCUGUAAACGAUGGAUACUAGCUGUUAGGGGUAUCGACCCCCUUAGUAGCGAAGCUAACGCGUUAAGUAUCCCGCCUGUGGAGUACGGCCGCCAGGCUA